GACGAACGCUGGCGGCGUGCUUAACACAUGCAAGUCGAACGGAAAGGCCCUGCUUUUGUGGGGUGCUCGAGUGGCGAACGGGUGAGUAACACGUGAGUAACCUGCCCUUGACUUUGGGAUAACUUCAGGAAACUGGGGCUAAUACCGGAUAGGAGCUCCUGCUGCAUGGUGGGGGUUGGAAAGUUUCGGCGGUUGGGGAUGGACUCGCGGCUUAUCAGCUUGUUGGUGGGGUAGUGGCUUACCCAGGCUUUGACGGGUAGCCGGCCUGAGAGGGUGACCGGCCACAUUGGGCCUGCGAUACGGCCCAGACUCCAACGGGAGGCAGCAGUGGGGAACAUUGCACAAUGAGCCGAAGCCGGAGGCAGAAACGCCGGGGGCGGGAUGACGGCCUUCGGGUUGUAAACCGCUUUCGCCUGUGACGAAGCGUGAGUGACGGUAAUGGGUGAAGAAGCACCGGCUAACUACGU
Molecule: ribosomal RNA, 467 nt
Filed under: uncultured bacterium
Lineage: Bacteria
Description: partial 16S ribosomal RNA
Rfam family: Bacterial small subunit ribosomal RNA
Source: RNAcentral